GCUGAAAACACCGGUUUUCGUCCGUUCACCGAAGUUAUGCCUCAUCCAGCGCAGUCAGUGCUUGGAAGGGUGACCACUUGGGAACAUCACGAUUCG
This is a non-coding RNA of Trichonephila clavipes, 96 nucleotides long. The record is from the annotation of a GenBank genome assembly. Lineage: Eukaryota; Metazoa; Arthropoda; Arachnida; Araneae; Nephilidae.